This 333-nucleotide ribosomal RNA is filed under the name Triticum aestivum (bread wheat). RNAcentral describes it as "partial small subunit ribosomal RNA". The record is from RNAcentral. Lineage: Eukaryota; Viridiplantae; Streptophyta; Magnoliopsida; Poales; Poaceae.
CAGCCGCCGAACUCACCUAAUUUGAACAUUCUUGACUUAGGGUUCUUCGCGGAACUUCAGGCUGUUUUUGAGAAGAUGUCUCCUGGUAAAAUUGUUGAUAUUAUUGCAAAGGUUAAAAAAGCAUAUGAAACGUACCCAGCCGAGAGAAGCAUCCAUAUUUUUCUUACCCUAUAGUCAUGCAUGCACGAGGUACUGAAGAAGAAAGGAGGUAACCGGUACAAGGUCCCACACAUGAGGAAGUCAUUUUUGGUGGCACUCGAAAUGCUUCCGGACGUAGUACCGUGCCAUACUGAUGUUGUAGUAGCUACUAUUGAGGCCCUUCCAGAUGCUUGA